CCUACGGGCGGCAGCAGUGGGGAAUAUUGCACAAUGGGGGAAACCCUGAUGCAGCGACGCCGCGUGAGUGAUGAAGUAUUUCCGUAUGUAAAGCUCUAUCUGCAGGGAAGAAAAUGACGGUACCUGAUUAAGAAGCUCCGGCUAACUACGUGCCAGCAGCCGCGGUAAUACGUAGGGGGCAAGCGUUAUCCGGAUUUACUGGGUGUAAAGGGAGCGUAGACGGCAGCACAAGUCUGGAGUGAAAUGUCGGGGCUUAACCCCGGAACUGCUUUGGAAACUGUGCAGCUUGAGUGCAGGAGAGGUAAGUGGAAUUCCUAGUGUAGCGGUGAAAUGCGUAGAUAUUAGGAGGAACACCAGUGGCGAAGGCGGCUUACUGGACUGUAACUGACGUUGAGGCUCGAAAGCGUGGGGAGCAAACAGGAUUAGAUACCCUAGUAGUC
This 440-nucleotide ribosomal RNA is filed under the name uncultured bacterium. Its description in RNAcentral is "partial 16S ribosomal RNA". It matches the Rfam family "Bacterial small subunit ribosomal RNA", at positions 338 to 795 of the family's 1533-position model. The record is from RNAcentral.